RNAcentral lists this ribosomal RNA (253 nucleotides) under uncultured bacterium. RNAcentral's name for it is "partial 16S ribosomal RNA". It matches the Rfam family "Bacterial small subunit ribosomal RNA", at positions 524 to 776 of the family's 1533-position model. The record is from RNAcentral.
UACGGAGGGGGCUAGCGUUGUUCGGAAUUACUGGGCGUAAAGCGCGCGUAGGCGGACCUGCAAGUCGGGGGUGAAAGCCCGAGGCUCAACCUCGGAACUGCCUUCGAUACUGCGGGUCUCGAGUCCGGGAGAGGUGAGUGGAAUUCCUAGUGUAGCGGUGAAAUGCGUAGAUAUCUGAAGGAACAUCAGUGGCGAAAGCGACUUCCUGGACCAAUACUGACGCUCAUGUGCGAAAGCGUGGGGAGCAAACAGG